This 482-nucleotide ribosomal RNA is filed under the name uncultured bacterium. RNAcentral's name for it is "partial 16S ribosomal RNA". It matches the Rfam family "Bacterial small subunit ribosomal RNA", at positions 30 to 507 of the family's 1533-position model. The record is from RNAcentral.
AUUGAACGCUGGCGGCAUGCUUUACACAUGCAAGUCGAACGGCAGCGCGGGGCAACCUGGCGGCGAGUGGCGAACGGGUGAGUAAUAUAUCGGAACGUACCCAAGAGUGGGGGAUAACGUAGCGAAAGGUACGCUAAUACCGCAUACGAUCUAAGGAUGAAAGUGGGGGAUCGCAAGACCUCAUGCUCCUGGAGCGGCCGAUAUCUGAUUAGCUAGUUGGUGAGGUAAAGGCUCACCAAGGCGACGAUCAGUAGCUGGUCUGAGAGGACGACCAGCCACACUGGAACUGAGACACGGUCCAGACUCCUACGGGAGGCAGCAGUGGGGAAUUUUGGACAAUGGGCGCAAGCCUGAUCCAGCAAUGCCGCGUGAGUGAAGAAGGCCUUCGGGUUGUAAAGCUCUUUUGUCAGGGAAGAAACGGUAGAGGCUAAUAUCCUUUGCUAAUGACGGUACCUGAAGAAUAAGCACCGGCUAACUACGUG